RNAcentral lists this unclassified non-coding RNA (300 nucleotides) under uncultured fungus. Its description in RNAcentral is "sequence contains 5.8S rRNA gene, ITS2". The stretch from base 1 to 71 matches the Rfam family "5.8S ribosomal RNA", at positions 84 to 154 of the family's 154-position model. The record is from RNAcentral. Lineage: Eukaryota; Fungi.
GUGAGUCAUCGAAUCUUUGAACGCAUAUUGCGCCUUCCGGUAUUCCGGGAGGCAUGCCUGUUUGAGCGUCAGUUUUUUACUCACAACAUCUGCAGUUUUGUGGAUAUGUGGUUGUGAACCGAGGGCUUUGAAAGCCAAUGCCCUGGUUUGAAAAGGAUUGCCAUCUUGCUAGCAAGUGGAUAUUAGUGAAAUAGGUUCAUCCAACUCUACUAAUAUUAUUCAACAUUAAUGCCAAGCAUAGCGGCCUUUAUUUUACUGUUUGUUCAAUCUAAUUGAUCAGCAGAAAAACUCUGACUUUUG